RNAcentral lists this ribosomal RNA (732 nucleotides) under uncultured bacterium. RNAcentral describes it as "bacterial SSU rRNA". It matches the Rfam family "Bacterial small subunit ribosomal RNA", at positions 55 to 761 of the family's 1533-position model. The record is from RNAcentral.
AUGCAGUCGAACGCGAAAUUUCCCUUCGGGGGGAAAGUAGAGUGGCGCACGGGUGAGUAACACGUAGGUAAUUUGCCUUUGGGUGGGGAAUAACUCAGGGAAACUUGAGCUAAUACCGCAUAAUGCAGCGGCUCGACAUCGAGACAGUUGUUAAAGCGGGGGAUUGGAGCAAUCCGACCUCGCGCCUAAAGAGAAGCCUGCGGCAGAUUAGCUAGUUGGUAAGGUAAUGGCUUACCAAGGCGACGAUCUGUAACCGGCCUGAGAGGGCGGUCGGUCACACUGACACUGACAUACGGGUCAGACUCCUACGGGAGGCAGCAGUCGGGAAUUUUGGGCAAUGGGCGAAAGCCUGACCCAGCAACGCCGCGUGAAGGAUGAAAUUUUUCGGAAUGUAAACUUCGCAAGAACAGGAAGAAUAAGUAGGGGACAAUACCCCCUAUGAUGACGGUACUGUUUGUAAGCUCCGGCUAACUCCGUGCCAGCAGCCGCGGUAAUACGGGGGGAGCAAGCGUUGUUCGGAUUUACUGGGCGUAAAGGGCGCGUANGCGGCGUGACAAGUCACUUGUGAAAUCUCCGGGCUUAACUCGGAACGGUCAAGUGAUACUGUCGUGCUAGAGUACAGAANGGGCAACUGGAAUUCUCGGUGUAGCGGUGAAAUGCGUAGAUAUCGAGAGGAACACCUGCGGCGAAGGNGGGUUGCUGGGCUGAUACUGACGCUGAGGCGCGAAAGCC